GGCAUACGGCUCAGUAACACGUAGUCAACAUGCCCAGGGGACGUGGAUAACCUCGGGAAACUGAGGAUAAACCGCGAUAGGUCAUCACUUCUGGAAUGGGUAAUGACUUAAACCUAUAUGGCCCCUGGAUUGGACUGCGGCCGAUCAGGCUGUUGGUGAGGUAAUGGCCCACCAAACCUGUAACCGGUACGGGCUCUGCGAGGAGGAGCCCGGAGAUGGGCACUGAGACAAGGGCCCAGGCCCUAUGGGGCGCAGCAGGCGCGAAACCUCUGCAAUAGGCGAAAGCUUGACAGGGUUACUCUGAGUGAUUUCCGUUAAGGAGAUCUUUUGGCACCUCUAAAAAUGGUGCAGAAUAAGGGGUGGGCAAGUCUGGUGUCAGCCGCCGCGGUAAUACCAGCACCCCGAGUGGUCGGGACGUUUAUUGGGCCUAAAGCAUCCGUAGCCGGUUCUACAAGUCUUCCGUUAAAUCCACCUGCUUAACAGAUGGGCUGCGGAAGAUACUAUAGAGCUAGGAGGCGGGAGAGGCAAGCGGUACUCGAUGGGUAGGGGUAAAAUCCGUUGAUCCAUUGAAGACCACCAGUGGCGAAGGCGGCUUGCCAGAACGCGCUCGACGGUGAGGGAUGAAAGCUGGGGGAGCAAACCGGAUUAGAUACCCGGGUAGUCCCAGCUGUAAACGA
This 677-nucleotide ribosomal RNA is filed under the name uncultured Nitrososphaerota archaeon. RNAcentral describes it as "bacterial SSU rRNA". It matches the Rfam family "Archaeal small subunit ribosomal RNA", at positions 80 to 760 of the family's 1478-position model. The record is from RNAcentral. Lineage: Archaea; Thermoproteati; Nitrososphaerota.